Molecule: long non-coding RNA, 6297 nt
Filed under: Sus scrofa (pig)
Lineage: Eukaryota; Metazoa; Chordata; Mammalia; Artiodactyla; Suidae
Description: lncRNA (ENSSSCG00050070525.1)
Source: RNAcentral
GGGCCACACAUGCAGCAUAUGCAGUUCUCAGGCUAGGGGUUGAAUUGGAGCUGCAGCUGCCGGCCUACGCCACAGCCACAGCAAAGCCAGAUCCAAGCUGCAUCUGUGACCUAUACCACAGCCCAUGGCAAUGCCAGAUCCUUAACCCACUAAGCGAAACCAUGGAUCAAACUUGCACCCUCAUGGAUACUAGUUGGGUUUGUAACCCACUAAGCCAUGAUGGGAACUCCAAAAAUCAUAAAAUGUUUAAGAACAGACAUAUAGUAUUUUUUUUUUUUAAGGCUGAAUUUCACUCAGUUACAGAUCAGCUCUCAAUGUACAAGAGACUUUCUAACAGGACCUGAUUUGGGGAAAGAGCAUGUUAUUCUCAUACACACAUUCCCCUCCCACCCACUUAAGACGCACUUCAGAUCCAGGGUGAGUACAAGAGACAAAAAGUGGUCAGGAGAGCAAUAGAAAGGUGUUCCAGGAUAGAGGGCCUCAGCCAGAGAGAAAAUAUAUCUAUGGCUUUGCCAGCCCUGCGCUCCCUGUCACCACUACUCCACUCUGCAGUGCAGCCCCGAGCAGGCACACAUGACAGACGGGUGAGGGUUCCAAUAAAACCAUCCACCAAAAUAGGCAGUGGGCGUAGUCUUGGCUGCAGCUUGCCAACCCCUGUCCUAGUAGGGUCUGAACUUACCUGAAAGAAGGAAAAUAGAAAAAAACCAGCCCUGAAUCCCACUGCCCAUGCCUGGCUCACCCCAAAAGCUCGCCGCCUCUGCCCCCUGGCCUUUAGUUGGUGUCUUUCCUUUCCUUGUUCUGACUCUGCCCUUCCAGUGGUAGACUGGGUCUUGUCACAGCACCUAGACACUUCUUCAAGCUCCAGCCACAGGGCUGGAACACACAUCUGUUUUUCUAACUAUGGGAUGAACGUGGGUUCUCCCACCCACUGGGAAGCACAGGAGGCAGGGAUUGUGUGGGACUUGUUCUUUGUGGAUCCUCAGGGCCAAGCACAUAGUAAGAGCUCAGUGAAUGAAACCAGCGUAUGAAGGUCCAAGUGCACCCACUGUACCUUCGCCUGAAUGUUUGGGGGGCUCCUCCUAGAAGUGAGUCAGGGAGUGGGGUGGCGUCCAAUGCAUCCGCAUUGCCUCAAUGCCAUGGGGAGAGGCCAGGCUGGUGCUCACCCUAUGUACUUAUUUCUGAUUAGGAAGGAUUUGUUGCCCGGGGUGGCUAUGGGGGUGGUUAACCUGCAGAAAAGAUAAGUGCCCGUACUAGCCCACCUGGAGGGGGGUUGAAUUCCAGUAAUCACGGGACUGCUGGUAUCAGCACUAAGAUUGUCUGGCAGAGAUGCUGAGGGUCAGAGGCUAUGUUCUGGACACAUCAUCUCAUUGGGGGUAGAAACAAUUAUGAUCCCCGUUUUCCCAGGGAAUGUAACCGGGGUUCUCCACAGUUACUGUCCCCAGGUCACAUCUCAAUAAAGGCCCGGGGUGUGAUCACAGACUUAACUGACUUCAAAGCCAAUUCCUAAUCACUCUGUCAAUUCCACUGGAUGGGCUGAUUGCAUAUAGUUCCAUUUUAUAGCAUUGCCUGGGCAGACCUGGAGUUGUCCAGGUUGUUGACUUCAGGGUUGGCAGGGGACAACCAAUCUUAUACUUGCACACUAGGCAUCUUGCCAGAAGUCUGGCCAGUUUUUGACCUGGACACAGAUCACGCUGCUUCUGCUCCAUGGAAUAGUCCAGAAGCCUAUGGCUCCCUCUCCAAGCAAAGCCCGUGACAUAGCCCGGCCCAGCUUUCCCCACCCCAUCCAUGCUCCCCUAGACAGCCAACCUCGAUUCUGCCUUCCAGGCCUGAUCUGUGCUGGCGUCCAGGCCCGCUGAUUUUCCUGCCUCCCCAUGAUUAGGAAUUAAUCUUAUAUUUUUGUUCCCCAACCCAUAAAUCAGUUACAGACCAAAUAUUUACACAGGCCAUCAUUUCCGACUGAACCAAUGACAGCCCUCAUUAUUAAAAAGGAUGACUGAUUUUGGGCAGAGAUUUCACCGGUAUGUGGCUGGAUGUUUUCUUUUAGCUUUCCUUCCCCCCUCCCCUUGCCUGAAGAGAAGACAAUUUCCAAGAUAAAUUGGUACCAAGGUCUGCUUUUGCUGUCUCCCUGGACCAGCAGGACAUGGGCAGGCUUCCAUCAGCCCAAAAAGUGAUGGCCGGGGUUGGUAUGGGAAUCACUUAACUGAACAUCCCUUAAAAUCAGGAACCCUAAAGAAGGGAGGGGUGGAUGGGGCCAGGAAAGGGAAACUCAGCAGCAUCACCUCCUCAGUCAUGACACCCACCCUACAGGAGUGAUGUGACCUGUCCAGGGUGACCCCGAGGGAGGCCAUGUGCUAAGUGGUAAUAUCACUGGGUGCGGAAGCAGAAGACUGAGUUUCUGACUCGGCUCUGUCAUUCCUUAGCAAGUCACCAUGGCCUCUGAGACUGGUUUCCUUCCCUGCCAAAGCAGGGAUUCACUCUGUGGUACUCUGUCCCUUGUGACAGGUACCUGUGACAGCUGCCUUACUAUGAGCCUGGCCUUGUGCUAAGCAUCUUAUAGGCAUUAGCUCAUUUUAGUCUUUACAAUGGGGACCAUCAUCUCCAGAUGAAGCAACAGAGGGUCAGAGAGGCUAAGCCACUCACCUGAGGUCACACAGCACAUAAGGGGCAGAGGCCAGGAUUUGAAAUCGUUUCUGCCUGACCUCAGUGCUCUUGGUCCUAACAUAUACUACAGCCUCCCUAAGACCUGAAUUUGCUUGGGCAUGUAACACACCACCAUGUGGAUUCUAAGCACCCUGGUAUCUCCAUGUGAAAGCCCCUAGGGUCAGCAUCCUAGGCAAAGGCAGAACUGACGACUGUCUGCCAGGUGGUGAGCCAGCAGAAAGCCUUCUCUCUGCAAAGCCAGAGGUCAGCUGGAAAGGUUUCUGCAGGGAAACUGUGAGUAUUUUGCCACUUAGGGAACACUUCAUAGAAGCUUUAUGUACCCUGGGAACAAUUAAUUGAGUGCGAAUCUUUACAGACAUGCCUAAAAAGCACAUAUUUCAAUCUGGUACUUCUACAAGAUACACACUGCUAUGUGUCCAUCACAGCCUGGAAGACAGACAGCAGCCUCUGCCAGCGCUAGAGGGCUUGGGAGGGCUUCAGACAGCGAUGGGGCUGGCUGGGCUCUCGGGGCCGGCCGCUUAACCUCCCGAGGCUCCCAGCUUCUUCACUUGCAAAAUGAGAGCUUAAAGCAGAUCAUCCUGGAAAGCUCAUCCAUCCUCACUAAGAUGUUUCUGUGAUGCGGGCCCCUCUCCUCCAGACUUACGGUGUGACCUUGGGCAGGUCAGAAUCUGCGAGGCUUCAGAUCUUCUUAUUUAUGCCCUGGGUUAACCUCUCCAGACCCCCUGUCUGCCCCUGGCUUCUGUGGGGGCAGAUGAGUCAGCGUAAGCACAGUAAACCCUCAGCUGCGAUGAUCCCAGCAGUGCAGAAUUUCCAGUAAGUCAUGACUGCCCUGCAGUGACUCUGAGAAGAAAGUCGGAAACUCUUUUUCCAUGUGAGUUUGAAAACAGUGGCCUGCAAGCAGUGUUUUGUUUUGUUUUUCAAAUCAAGGCCUUCUACAUGCUCUCAGCUUUGGCAUCCAACAGUGACUUGUUAUCAUACAAAAUGUGUUCACUGGGGAUCAAGAACUGCAGAGGGCGGGCCCACUGGGAGAUAUAACUUAACGUGCUUGGCCACAUAAUUUUUUUCUGCUCAGCAGAACUCAGGUAUUUCAAUAUCUUAGCCAAUGGCCUGUGUGGCAUGUAGUGGACAUUUGAUUGUGACCCACUAGCACUCACCUUCCCCACCACCCUUUGGGGGAAUUCUCUCUCCUCUUUAAUGCCACUGAGCUGUACACCUAAAAAUGGUUAAAGGGACAAGUUUGAUGUUACAGAUAUUUUAUCAUAAUUUUUAAAAUAUAUUAGCAUUUUAAAAUGUGUUAGCAUCACCAACCUCUGCUGAUGUUUGGGGAGGAGGGUCCUGUGGAGGGAGGGAGAGAAAGAUACGCUUGGACAGGAAACUCCUUUUCUUUAAGGAGACCACAGGGAGGGCUGCUGAGAGUCAUGGUGCCAGUUCCUGAGCAAAGGAAGCUGAGCAUGGGGAGUGAAAGCUCACAGCCACCACUGCGAGAGGAACCAUCAACCAGCCCAGCCCAGGGCCCCUGCCUUCUCCACAGCAGCUACACAUCUUCUCUAGCUGUGCACUCUCCAGCUGCUCAGACCCAACUUCAUCAAAGAUGCAGGGCUCCCCAAGUACCAAAAAGCUAAUGCCAAGUUUAUGACCACUGGCAAAGGAGCCAUAAAACCCAGGCCCACUCAAGCACAUUGCGCUGCCACCUGCCACCUGCCACCCUGGGGAGGCUGCCAGGCCCCAGCUUGGGUUUCUUCGGGGUCCCUCUCCACCCAUGAUCAACACAUCAUCCGGCUCGUAAGAAAACCAGUGGGCAGUGAACCCUAUCAAGAGUGGAUGUCUCAGGAGGACAACUUGUACAAACUUUCAGAAGUGAUCGUGGCAAUGGCCAUCCUAGAAUAACCUGGGCUGCCCUCACAGCUAGGUUUCACAGUAGAUGCCAAGAAAAAUCCAGAUUUGGAGUCGAGCUUCGAACGUGCUUCCCUGCACUUUGGAUUUCUCUUUUGUAAGAAGGGAUGACCUACAUCCUAGCAUUGUUGGGGGCAGUAAGUAUCAUGAAGCUACUUGGGGUGUGGGCUCAGAGGUCGAAAUGGGAUUCAGCUCUGCAGUCAAGGGACCGAACUGGGUUAGAUGGCACCAUUCCCCCAAAGGACCCCUUUGGUUCCAAUCCUCUCUGAGAUUAGCUAGCUUGGCAAUUCAUGAGUCAUUCUAGACAUCCAAGGACAUCCAUGACCAUCCCUUGCCAGGUCCAGUUGAUGUCAAGAAAACACCUAAGAAACAACCUGGGAGGUCACCCUGCACAGCUCAGCCUCCACACCUGCAAAAUGGGAUGAAUAGUAGUCCCUGGGUUACAUCAAAGGUUUUCUGAGACGGCACAUGUCUAGCUGGGCUCCUCAGCCUUGUACAUCUCAUGGUACACACAGAGAGGGACACAACUUGUGCACUGGGGCAGACAGAUGAGGGAGCCCCGGAGGCCCCAGGCACCCAGGGGAUGGAACUGGUCAAUAUUUCAGUGCACCUUUAAGCAUUUUGCAGGGCACUGGUUGGGAAGCUCCACUGAAAGCACAGGCAUGGACAACAAACACAGCUGCUUCCCUCCUGCCAUGAUGGGGGAUCCUAUGUGCUUCUUCUCCUCACAGGCCCGCAGGCUUGAGCUCUUUAUUUCCAAGUCCAAUUUGGUUUUAUUGUAAAAUAAGCCUGUAUAGUUUCAAAAUGUCAAAAACAGCAGCAAAAGGAACCUAAUGAAAAAUAAAGUCCCCCUCUAGAGGACUUCUGGAGAGCUGAUAAUGUUCAGAUCCUUGAUCUGGGUGCUGGUUGCACAGAUGAGCUUAUAUGAUGAAAAUUCAGGAGGUAUAUACUUCCUAGCAUGUGUUUUUCUCUAUAUACGUGAGACUUCAAUAAAAACUUUAAAUAUCCCUCUGUUGUGAGUAGAAUUGAGCUCCCCUCCUCUAAGCCAGUAACUCAGCUUGUGACCUUAUUGGCAAAUAGGACUGUGGCAGACGUAAUUAGUUACAUUUAGAUGAGGUCAUACUAGAGUAGGGUGGGCCUCUAACCCAAAAAGAUCGGUGUCCUUAUAAAAUGGGGAAAUCUGGACACGGAUACACGAGAUGAAUGAAGAGGCAUGGGGAGACUGCCAGGUGAAGAUGGAGGCAGAGAUCAAGUGAUGCUCCUACAGGCCAAAGGUUGUCAGCAAACUACCAGAAGCCAGAGGAGAGGCUGGAACAGACUCUUCCUCCUGAAGGAACCAGCACUGCCGACACUUUGAUUCUGGACUUCUAGUCUCCAGACCCGAGAGACCAUAAAUUUCUGUCAUUUACACCACCCUGUUUACAGACCUUUGCUAUUGGGACAUUAAUAUACCCCCACUGUCUCUUUCUCUAAUUCUCAAUCAAGCUCCUGAGAGGUCCCCGUGGGACCUCUUAACAGUGGCUAAGGGCUGUUUGUGUGUGCUCCUAGAGAAUUCAUUUUAAUCACUAUAUUCAUAAUCCUUUCUUUUUUUCCAGCCAUGCUCGCAGCAUAUGGAAGUUCCCAGGUCAGGGGGUCAAAAUGGCACCACAGUUAUGACCUGCGCCACAGCUAUGGCAAUGCCAGAUCCUUAACCUGUUGUGCCACUAGAGAACAUCCUGUCAUCCUUUCUUAGUCUUGUCCACG